Molecule: non-coding RNA, 183 nt
Organism: Ceratotherium simum simum (southern white rhinoceros)
Lineage: Eukaryota; Metazoa; Chordata; Mammalia; Perissodactyla; Rhinocerotidae
Source: RefSeq, a predicted model, not a curated record
CCAAGUGCUCACCGCAUCAGCUUCUGGUGAAGAUUGACCGAGACGGAGAAAUUGAGAUGUACAGUGGUGAAGUGCUUUGCCAAAAGUCAUACAGUUAGACAGUAGAGUCAGAGUUACUGGCAGCUGAAGCAGUGUUCAGUGGGCUCAGAGGCCUACACAUGGAUAUUUGCUUUGCUGUGUUAA